Long non-coding RNA from Physella acuta, 358 nucleotides. RefSeq lists it as uncharacterized. NCBI's taxonomy places the organism in Eukaryota, Metazoa, Mollusca, Gastropoda, Physidae. The record is from RefSeq and is a predicted model, not a curated record.
UAAAAAAAAAUCUUCAUUUCCAUUUUGAAGGCUGACGCAUCGUUUUUUUUUUUUUUGUGCUUCGAAAACUUUUAUAAUAUAACAUUUCAGUUGAUACUAAGACUUGCCAAUCUCAAGAAUGAAGCUAUUGUUUUUCCUGCUUCUGAUAUUGGCUGCUUUCUCUCAUGGUUGUCAAAUAGACGUAAAACAUUGGUGUCAUCACGACUCUGAUUGUUCUGAAGGAUACAAAUGCAAAUAUUAUGUCGACAUGAGACAUAACGAAUGCAUUAAUGACGACAAAAAAUGAUAAAGUAUUCAAGUUUUCUGUCUUACACAUAAUUAUAAAUAUUAUGUGAAAGUAAUAAAUUAGCAAAACAUC